This is a long non-coding RNA of Alosa sapidissima (American shad), 102 nucleotides long. RefSeq lists it as uncharacterized. The record is from RefSeq and is a predicted model, not a curated record. NCBI's taxonomy places the organism in Eukaryota, Metazoa, Chordata, Actinopteri, Clupeiformes, Clupeidae. The transcript has 3 exons.
AUUUGAUUCCUAAUGAAAAUUUACUUGUAAUGUGGAAUUGAAUAAAGUAUCUAAAAUGUGUGUGUGUGAGAGAGAGAGAGAGAGAGAGUGUGUGUGUGUGUG